Molecule: long non-coding RNA, 7432 nt
Organism: Vigna angularis (adzuki bean)
Lineage: Eukaryota; Viridiplantae; Streptophyta; Magnoliopsida; Fabales; Fabaceae
Exons: 4
Source: RefSeq, a predicted model, not a curated record
UUAUUAUGCCAAAGAGGGAGUUCGAAAAAGCAAAGCCAAGAGCUGUUUCUUUCAAAUUCAUCUUCUCUUCUCCAUACGUUCGUCGCGCGAUGAACCAAACCAAACGCGAUCUUGUGAAGCUGAGACUCUUCCGCGAACACAUUUCUCUUAUUUUUCUUCUUCUCUCAAUCUUUCUGAAUUCUGAAUCGCUUAAUGCUCAACGAUUCUUUUGGCAUUAUCUCCCUUCUGCAAGAUCUCCAUCUCACUCAGUCUUCUCCCAAAGUUCUCUCAGACGAAAGCUGGGCCAGUUUUGGUUGCUGUAAAUCCUUUUAACAAAGUUCCUCUGUAUGGUAAUGACUAUAUUGAAGCCUAUAAGUGUAAGGCAAUUGAAAGCCCUCAUGUUUAUGCAAUUAUCGACACAACCAUCCAAGCAUUGAUACGAGACCGAGACAGCAAAAAUAGCAAUGCAAUACUUGGCUGCCCUUGGUGGUGGAAGUGGAAUAGAGAACGAGAUAUUAAAGACUAAUCCAAUACCAGAAGCCUUUGGUAAUGGAAAAACAUUAAGAAAUGACAACUCGAGACGUUUUGGAAAGCUCAUUGAGAUUCAUUUCAGUGAAACUGGAAAAAUAUCUGGUGCAAAUAUUCAAACAUGUAUGUUUACACAGGAUGUAAUUGAAGGUUUGUCUUUUCUUCCUCUUUCAAGUAUCUAACUAUUAUGUUAACAUUUGCAACUCUAUUGAAUCGAUGUGGUGCUUCUGGCUUGGCCUGUUGAUCAUUAAAGCAUCAGAAUUGAUUUAAUUAGGCAUGAAAAAUUGCUAUACCAUAGAAGUACAUGAUUUUUGCACUGUAAGUAUCUGUUUGCUAAAUGGGAGUAUGAUCUUAAUUGCUGAAUUGGAGUCAAUGUAUGCAGAAAACCUUGCUGUUUUAGUUAUAAAACUAUGCAGAAAAACUUUGCUGUAUUGCUGUAAAAUCUGCAUAAAAUCUUUGCUGUUUUGGUGUAAAAUUCUGCAGAAAUAUCUUACUGUUUUGCUGUAUAAUCUGCAUAAAAAUCUUGCUGUUUUGACGGUAUAUUCUGCAUAAAAAAUCCUUGGCUGUUUGACAUUUGCUAAUGCUGAUUGAGUUGUUUAUAGCCUUUGGAGAUAUUGUUUUAUGUCGAUUGGGUAUUAUUGUUGUCAAAGGUUGCUGUUGGACUAGGUAUAAAUAUUCCGAAUAUACUGUUUGAUUGUAUUGAUGCUGAGAUUGUUGUUUCAGUUAUGGAUGAGAUUGUAAUAUAAUUAUAUUAUAAUGAAUUUUUGGAAAUACAGCAUAUUUGUUUGGUUCUUAAUAUUGCACCAUUCGUGAUGAGCUUGCUAAAAUAUAUGUAUGUAAUGUUUGAGUUAGUACAAUUAUGUUCGAAUGGUAUUAGUUGCCCUUUUAGAAAUCACAUGAUUGGAUAUGUUCAUUGAGGAUGUAUGAAUGAUGAUGCGUAGACAGUGUGAAAUGAAUCUAGUUUGGCGCUUGGUCUUUAUACUUGUGGUGCAAGCGUCUUUUGAUCCAUCCUUCCUCUUUCUCAAUUGUUUUAGAACUACACUAGGUUCAUUGUAUAUGGCAUGACAACGGAUAAUUAUAUUGAGUCUGCAGUUUUUUUUUUUGCUAUAAGCUGAGAGGAGGCUAUUGCUUUCGUCUUCUAUGAUAUUCAUUCCACUAAUUGUUAAAUGUUAGAUCAUGAGAAAGAUAAAAUUUCAAGAAAACAAAAGAAACUCAGAAAAUGUGAAAAGAAACAUAAAGAGUUACAAAUAUAUGAAAAAAAAAACUAUCUUUGGAGAAGAAAUGGAAGAAAGGAGCAGAACCAUAGCAUCGACCCCAAGAGAUGUUAGACAAAGAAGAGGGGGAUGAGAAAUUUACUACAAUAUUUUUGUUGCACAUAACAUCCACGUAAGAAAAGGAACCUGGACUACAAUAUUUACUACAAUAUUUUUGUUACCCAGAGAAAUAAACCAGAAUAGAUCUAUGAAAAAGUGACUCAUGCACUCAAGGCAAAGAUCUCGACUACAAAAAACCUAUUCUUCUAUAUUGAAGAGGUUUCUUGCUUGAAUUCAAGAAGAAUAUGAAGAAAAUAGAUUGAGAUCUUUAAAAAAAAGGCAACUUUUGACUCGUAAUACUAGGUCAAACACAAACACUUUCCCAUUCAAGCAAUUGGCCACAGGCCACUGGCUCGAAUCCAACCCAUAAACCCAACAUAUAUACAUACACCUCACGACCCUUGGGGAAUAGGAUCCCCUCCCUCCACAGAAAUUAAAUAACAUAAAUAGCCUUAAUUUCUCUAUUCAGAUGGAUUAUGGAAUCAACAGUGAUAUAUAGUUCCUGAUAAGGCCACCGUUCAGCCUGCUAUUAGGUCUACAACUGCUGCCACUGUACCAAAUUAUCCUGCUACAAUAACUCACAUAGUGGGCAGGGGCCACUUUGCACUAGACACCACUAUGGCUGGAGAGAAAUUAACUAUAAACACAAAAAUUAACCAAAUUAACUAUAAACACAAAAAUUAACUAAUCUUAUACAAAUUUGAUUAACUAUAAACACAAAAAUUAACCAGAUUAUUACCUUCAACUUUUCAUGAGCUUCUUUCACAAUCUUUCCAUUCUUUUCUUUCUCCAAUUAUAUCCAUACUUUCUAAAGUACCUCAAAGCCUUUCUAUCAAAUAAAAAAAGUGUACCACCUGAAAUUAUGAAGUAAAAUUCAAAGCUUUUAUGUCUUAGUAAACUCAAAUUAAUGAUAGGAAUAUAAUUAGAAGGUAAAAGAUAGAGUGAAAAUAACAAGUUAUAAGAAAACAACAAAAUACUAAUAAUAACAUCCUAAAUCCUGAUGAAUUGUGAUGAAUAUGCAAUAAGUACACAAGGUACUUUUUGGCUACCAAGCUUCACAAUUUGUUUUUUGAAUAAUGUGUCUUCAUUCCUUAAACUGAAAUAAAAGGUCUAUUAGAACAUGAAUAUAUUAAGUUUAGAUAAUGAAAAAUUAAAAAACUUCAUACAAUUUUAAAAAUAAUUAAAUUCAGUUAAAUGAACUCAAGAAGGAGAAUACUUCAAUUUUUAAACACAUUGUUCAGCACCCAGAAAGAUAUGAUUAAUUCAGGCCAAAAUGUUCAUAAACACUAAGUUGCACCAAAUAAGUCAAGGAAAAUCAGUUUGUGAAACCUUCUUGGACAAUUCAUCUAAUCCAUAUAUCAAAAGUAUAUACUGGUGCAAAUUAAUAUUAAGUAACAUAGAUAAUGGCAUGUUAGCAAUAAAUGCUUUUCGGCCAUUGAUUGAAGAGUCAACACUGCUAAGUUUAAGUUUCUUAAGGUUAAGCUUAGGCUAAACUCACUUUCUAAGACACUACAACUGCGACUGUGAAGUCUUCAAAUUCAAUAUGUAUAUAGUAUUAUCUCCAUGAUUGGAAUAAAGGAAAAAUAUUAUACUCUUAAUUCAAAUUGUAUUUUCCAAAUUUCAUAUAAUAAAAUAGGUUGUUACAGUUACGAACUAACAAAUUUCCAACAUAGAAUAAAUAGCUAUUUUUGCAUGUUUAUUGCAUAAAGGAGUAAGCAAAAUUGUAAUACCAGUUUGGGUAAAAAUAGAAAUGAAAAAGGCCAACCGAAAAGGUCACAAACAUAAAACAUAAUAAUAGAUGGCCUUGGACCUUAGUAAAACCAGAUUCAAGGGGGUCUCAACUUACUAACCAGACCAACAACACUUGCUUUUGCAUGCUAAAAUUCCAUGUGAAAGAAAGAGACAAAUAAUUACAGUUCUAUUUUUUAUAUUAUUUUUAUUCAAAAGGCCUUAGAAGACCAUUAAAGAAGGAAUAAGCUGCAGAACAAAACCAAAACGUUUAAAAAAUAAAAGUAGAUAUAGAGCUAGAGAUAUCAACAAACCAAUGGAUUCAGAACAAUCCUCAUGCUGGGUUGAAUGUAUUUCCACAAAACUCUUAGAAUGCCAAACAAAUUCUGACCAGUUGGACUUAAAAGAUCGAGAUGAGCAUCAAUGUGAAACCUAGAAUUUUUAUUAUGUAGAAUGAUAGCACUGCACAAAUCAACAGUAUUAAACUAUUAAAUUGUAUAAUUAAAUGAUAUAUAUAUAUAUAUAUGUUUAUUUCUCAACCUUGAUAUUACUCUUAUCAUCAGAGAAAGAGAAAUACUAUGUGUACAACAAAGUGAAAAAGAGAAAGGAGAGAAAAGUAUUACAUGUUAUUAGUGAUAUCAUAGAGAUAGAUACAGAGGAAAAAGUAGUGUCAUAUACUACUAAAAAUUAUUGUAUGAAUAUCUACUUAUCAUAAUCUAUACAUUAGAAUGGUUGCUCCAUACACUAUGAAUUUAGUAAACAAAAAGAAUCAUGGCACCAAAACAAUCAAAAGAAUAUUGUACAAAUAAACUGAUGGUAAGAAAUUAAAUUACAAGGUUCAUUAGUGACUACGGUACUCAUUUAAUCACUAUACUAUGGAUACUUCAUUGGAACUGAAAUCUUAUCAAACCUGUAUGCUACUGGAUCAUAGGGGUCAAAAAUGUUGAAUAACUGCCGACAAGUUGGCAUCUCUUCUUUUAUAUUUUCCUGCUGCCAAUAUUCUUGUUAUUUACAUGAAACAAACAAGAAAGAAUAAAAACUGGAUGCAUAUGAUUAAAAACUGGAUGUUAUUAUGACUGACACUUGUAAUCAUAACUUUUUUUUUCUGAUAAAAGCACAGAAAGUGUUUUAACAUUAGUUUAAUAAAGCCAAACAAAAUUGAAUGGAGAUUGUUAAUACAAAAGAAUACACAGCGAAAGUUGAGUGUUAGAAUACAUAAUAAAAUUUCAAUAGUAUAGCAGCAACUGUAUUUUACAAUUAGUUUGAAUAUAUCUUAGGUUACCUCUCAAGAUUAGACCCUAUAUUUCUUUACCCCAAUAAUUCAUUAAUCAGAUAGAAUUAUGAUCUGGCAUUAGCAUAAAUAAAGGCCAAUUUUAUAUGUUUUUGUAUCACAUUGGAAAACAUCAUAAGUUUAUGCAAGAAGUAGCUUAACCUAAAACUUCUAUUUAUUCUAAUAAUUACUAAUUAGAUCAGGUACUAUAGCAGCUUCGAAAAUCCCUAGUGCACUAACAGAUUAAAAUCCACUAAAAUAAGGAAACGAAAAAAAACAGACUUAAAUAUGUUUCUUGUGUCUGUAAUAUACUAAUUUAAUGGUUUUGAUCUCCAGUAACUAAUAAUUUUGAUGUGGCAACCAUCUACUGCAGAACACACCUGAUGUUUCUUAAAUAGUAAUGACUAAAAUGAAUAUCUUAUAAUAUAAGAAAUAUAGAUAUCAAUGGUUUACAGUUUCGUAAGAACUAAAAAAAGCAUGGUUAAUACCUAAAAUUGUAAAAUAAAAAUUCGUUGAGACCCAAACCAUAAGAAAAAUAUAAGGACUAAAACAUAAUAUGGGUAUAUUUAAGCCAAAAAGAAAAUUAAAUAUAAUCUAAAUAUAACACAUGUAUUCUUCACCAUUUUAUUAGUAAAAAGGAAGCUUCUAAUUUCCAAUUAGCAACAAUUUUGGUGUAUCAUUAAAGAGAAAUACAGAGAAAAAAGUAUUACAUGUUAUUAGUGAUAUCAUAAAGAUAAAUACAGAGGAAAAAGUAGUGUCCAAUACUACUAAAAAUUGUUGUAGGAAUAUCUACUUAUCAUAAUCCAUACAUUAGAAUGUUGCUCCAUACGCUUUGAAUUUAGUAAAGAAAAAGAAUCAGGGCACCGAAACAAUCGAAGGAAUAUUGCACAAAUAAACUGAUGGUAAGAAAUUAAUCACUAUGGAUAGGACUAAAUCUUAUCAAACUUGUAUGCUACUGGAUCAUACUCUUCUCUUAUAUUUUCCUGCUCCCAGUAUUCUUGUCCUUUACCUGAAACAAACAAGAAAGAAUACAUAGCCAUCAACCUAAAUGCAUAUGAUUAAAAACUAGAUGUUAUUAUGACUGCCACUUGUAAUCAUAACUUUUUUUCCUUAUAAAAGGAAAGAAAGUGUUUUAUCAUUAAUUUAAUAAAGCCAAACAAAAUUGAAUGGAGAUUGUUUGUACAAAAGAACACACAGCGAAAGUUGAUUAGUGUUAAAAUACAUGACAAAAUUUCAAUAGUAUACCAACAACUGUAUUUUACAAUUAAUUUGAAUAUAUCUUAGGUUACCUCUCAAGAUUAGUCCCUACAUUUCUUUACCCAUUUGAUUCAUUAAUAAGUUAGAAUUAUGAUCUAGCAUUAACAUAAAUAAAGGCCAAUUUUAUGUUUUUGUAUCACAUUGGAAAACAUCAUACGUUAUGAACCUCGCUAAGAUAUUCCAAUAUUAAAGGUCCAUUAUACAAGGUAAGGCCGGGCAUAAUUCACCAAACUGUACUGAAACUACAAUUAACUGAAUUAUAUUAUACUUAAAAAAACUAAACUUAUUUUAACUAAAACUAAUUAAACUAUUUUACAGUUCAGUUAAAACAAACUGAACUCUACAUAAUUUAAGUGCAGUUAACUGGGAACCACAGUUUCUCCCUAACUGAGAAUUUCACCCCUAAAUUGAAAACCCUUGAAGCUAGGGUUCGAAAGGAUUAGGGCUGCUGUGUGCUUCUUCAUGUGGCAGCCGUGUUUUUCUCUGUGUGGGAUCUUCUUCCAGCUCUCCAAUCACCAUGCCAAUCUUCUCUGCUGCUGGACCGUGAAGGUCUUCUUCAAGGUGUUGGACGUCUUCUUCUUGUUGCUGGACGUCUUCUUCUUGUUGCUAGACCGUGAAGGUCCUUGGACAGCCAUCCAUGCAUCCACUUCUUCUAGCUGCAAUUUACGUGAAGUUUCUUCUCCUCCGUGAACAUGCUGGCUGGCUUUUCCAAUGAAAAAGAUCACUUUCUUGGGUGGAUGGAUCCCAUAGGACGAGACAUCACUCCUCUUUGCUCCGUGUUCUUUUCUUCCUUUCAGCAUGAGUUCCCAUGUGUUUGUCGUUUACAAAUUCUUUAAUCAACAAAAGUAAGAAAAGGGGGCCAUGUGUCCUUGUAUUAUUUUAUUUUCCAGACACUUCAGCAAAUGAGCACAAAGUGUAAUAUAAAUUAGUUUACUGAACUGCACUGUACUAUGAGUAGACUAAAAACCAGUGCAGUUUAGUUCACUCGAACUACUUUUAGUUCAGUUUAGUUUAGGAGAACUGUUUUAUAGUUAACUGCAAAUUUUUAUAGUAUAGUGCAGUACAGUAUACUUUGCCCACCCCUAAUACAAGGAGGCAAAUGAACCAACGAGAUGUAAUGGGUGACUGGUAACUGGAAAACCAGUUAGUAAAGGAGGUGGUAAGAGUAGUUAGAGAGGUCUAUUUGAAAAAUUUGAGAGUUGAGGAGAGGGACUUAUAAAUAUAAUUUUCUAUCAGACAGGAGAUGGGGAAGUAUUAUUUUUAGAUGCUAAUAACCUGUUUUCACAGUUGUAGUAGAAGAAGGGGUUUCCCUUGGCACAGAGGAAUAAUAGGAUCUCUCUGGUUAUCUUCCCCUUCA